This 73-nucleotide transfer RNA is filed under the name Isosphaeraceae bacterium. RNAcentral's name for it is "tRNA-Ile". It matches the Rfam family "tRNA". Rfam says of the family: Transfer RNA (tRNA) molecules are approximately 80 nucleotides in length. Their secondary structure includes four short double-helical elements and three loops (D, anti-codon, and T loops). Lineage: Bacteria; Pseudomonadati; Planctomycetota; Planctomycetia; Isosphaerales; Isosphaeraceae. The record is from RNAcentral.
CGGCGCGUAGCUCAACGGUCAAGAGCAUCCGGCUGAUAACCGGACGACGAAGGUUCGACUCCUUCCGGGCCGA